UUUAUUAUGUUUGAGGUGAUUUGUACUUAUGGUGAAUCUUUAUAAUAGAUCUGAUAACGUCGUAGUCGUAAUGGUUCGACCUCCCCUGAUGAUUCGACCUCUCCAGCCUCGUACGUAACUUCUGCCCGUGAAGUGAAAAAUCGGACCUCCUCACAACCCCUCCGCGCACGAUAGAAAAAAAAAAAGAAAAAAAAACAACCCAGACGUACGCACGUACCAACUCCCACCCCCUUCCACCAGACCCCUCGCUAUCGAUCCCGUGUCUUGCAGAGAGGAAUCGCCGCCGCCGGCCUCCUCCUAGAUUGGAGCGGUGAAUCCGCAUCUCAUCUCUUCAUCACCGAGUCCAUGAGGUGCUCGAUGUGGCAGGGACGACGAACACGAGCGCCGCAUCAAUAGCAGCGAUGAACGAUGGCCCAGGUAAUGCCAUCUCCUUACCCUUGCUCCACCACAUCUUCUCACGCCAACCAGUGGAUAUGCAACUGCGGCCCAGACUUGGUGGCCGAGCAGCAGCGACCUCGACGCGGCACAUGCGUGGUAGCUGAUGCACAGCACAGCGACCGCGACCAGGACGCGGUGGCGGGAGAAUGGCGACGGCUGCCAAGACCUGGCGUGACGGCGAUGAAGAUAUCGACUCUGACGACUCGCCUCCGUUCAACAGUGCCCUGCUUUUCCGCAUCGCCUCCGUCAAGCAUCACCUUCUUUUCCGCGCGCACAUCACCUCGGUCACUGGUAAACCGCUGUAUCUCUGUACUCUGCUGGCGAUCUGGAUUUAGGAGCUCUGGGAUUCGGAGAAUGCACAGGCUGGAGUUUGGGAAUAGCUCGGGCUUCCUGCAGAAGACGAUAGGUCUUGUUUGGUUUUUUUUUAGAAGAAUGAAUCUGAUUUGGAUGAGACUAAUCAGUACGUCAUGUGGGCCUCCAAGCGAAAUUUGUGGUGGGAACUUUCCUUCCAUUCAUCUUCUAAUCGGAUUUUGAUAUUUGUGCCAUUGAUUUGAGUGCUGAUGAAGAGCUUUCUAUGGACGAAGAGUCAACAAUGCAUUGGCAUUUUCCAAGUCCAUUCCCUGCUUUUAACUAUUCAACUUUCUUCUCUUUUUUUUUGAAGAACUAACUUCUUUUCUUUGUGAAAAAACUAUUCAGGAAUCGGAAUCAUCGAAUUCAUGAACUGCUCAUCGAAUUCACCCCACCGAACUCAAUUCGUAGGCACUACCGAAUCGCAAAUCCCAAACCCGAAUCAGUGGACUGCGAAUCCGGUAACUAUGGCAGGGAUUGACAAGUGGCAACAGACGUCUGGUGGCGUAAAGGACGACGGGUGGUGGUAGGGCUAUGGGAGGAGCAGGUAGAUGAAGGAGGUUGCCUGUGGAAAUCUGGCAUGUGGCGGCAUAAAGGCAUAAAGGACGACGGGUGGCGGUAGUGCUAUGGGAGGAGCAGGUAGGGCUAUGGCGGUAUAAAGGUUGUGUAGAAAUCACUCAAGUCUGCUUUUUAUUGUGGAAGCUCGUUGUAUGUGUAAAAUUACUUAUACUGUUGGUCCCGGCGCACGGAGCCUACAAGACGCCGAAUGUUCCUGCUGCUGCUUACCAAGCAGGAAAAUACCAGAAAUAAGUUCAACUUGGGGAAGAACAUGAAGAUGAUGAACUCGCUCGGCGGCUUGUACCGUGUUUUGUGCUGGAGGAACAUAAAAAUCUCCGUUUCCUUGUUACUUUAUUCUGAUGGUUUAUUUGCCAUAUGUUAGAUUGGCGAGAGGUGGGGUACCAGAAAGAGGCGACGUUAAAAUCGGUGCCAGUGACGACGACAGUGGACACGAUGAGCUUGGCGACAGCGGCUGCCGCAACAUUGUUGUGCUUGGAGCCCAUGCUAUCCGAGCUGGACAAUGCCAAUAGCUCAGUCCUUUUGCGUGUUCAUUGACAAGUUGUCCGUACAGUACCUUGGCGUCAACAACCACGGCCAUGAUGACGGAGUCAUGCUGGCCGAUUGCCCUGCUUCCAUGCACCGAGCAGUUUACUGGUUUGAGAUGACCAUGAGGACUGAUGGGCUCAAGGGGUUGAAUCGAGUUCACCACAUGUGGUGGCAACCUGGGUGAGCUACCUUUUGUUGGUCCUUUCUGCUAUUUGGUAUCUCUAGCCUGGUUUUAGUGCUCUGACAGCAAUUAGCAAUGCUAAACUUGAGACCAAAAGGAGUUGUAAGAAGAAAGGAGUUGUAAGAAGUGUUCCUUAGAAAUUGUACACUAAACUGCUUGCACAUUUUCAUGCAUGUUGGCACUCAUCUUGGAGCACAAUUAAAUGGAAAUCAGUAGCAAAAAUACAAUCUGCAUAGUGGUAAUCUAAUCCUAGAAUUUGGCUUCAUUUAUAUAUUUCGAAGUGGUUGCAUGAUUUCAUAUUUUGCGUACUAUGUUCACACUGUAACUUCUAACCUGGGAUUUUAAGUGCGCGAACAUUUGAUAUGGGUUACAAUUGAAACUUACAUUCGUUCUACUGAAUAGAAGAAGUGGCUUCUGAUCGUACUAAAAUUUCUUAAGAGCUAUAGUAACUUUAUUCUGUAGCAAUCAGUUAAUUAAGAAGUGAUAUCUUCCCCUUGCUUUGAAGUGAAUGCAAAUUUCGGGGUAUACUCCUAUUCAUUGCAAGCAUCACUAAGCGCAACUUCUGGAACUUUAAUUUAAUCAAAAGAAUACUGAAAAAUACUAUUUGCAUUAAUUUUCUACUCCCUUUGGUACACCAUGUCAUAUAAAUGUGAUGCAAAUUGUUGUAGGUUCAGUUUUACAUUCUCCUCCUUCCCAGAUCACAAGUGUCUAUUUCAAUAUAUUCCCUUUUUUCUAUUUUACAAAAUACACUUUCCACCAUGGAAGUGACAUGUGUUAUUCCUGAGAACUGGUUUAGUUUGAGUUGAUACCAUUUAUUUUUUUCUUUCCCAUUAUUUUUAACAACAUCUCCUUGAUUCAUAGGUCGUACUUUCUGCUAGACUGUUUUAUUUUCUUCAUUGGAAGACUUAUGUAAUACUUGAUGUCUUUUUUGUAAUAGAAACUUCAUCUUUGCUUAUAGUUUUGUUGGUGUUGUUCUGCGCAUGAUUCCUUAAUUCGAAUAGACAGUUAAAAUUAUGAUACAAUAUCAUAUCAUUCUUUUGGGAAUAUCAAAAGAGUAACUUUAACUUCUGAGGACACGUGCAUUUUUGACUGCUCUUUGUAAACCAGAACAUAAGAAAACCAACAGCCAGUUAAAGAUUAGCCAGAUUAACGCAAGUGAUUUUUUGUCUUGUUUAGUGAUAUGCAUUUCAUCAACUAUUGUUUAUCGCCAUUGCCGGAUGUAGUGAUACUCCAAAUGGAAAUGAAGUGGUCAAAGUGGACAAUUCUCGCCAUAUGGCUUGAUUACCGUAAAAUUUACUACAAAUCUUGACCUCUGUUGUGUUGCAGUAAUUUCCUCAAGAUUAUCUUAUUAGCAUGCUAUCGUUUUUACAACCUGACAAAAAUAGGUGAAUUGUUGAACUUCAGACUGCAAUGGAGGUGCACUGGAUGAACCGGAGGUGAUCAUUUUGGCCUGUGCACGUAUGUUCUUCUGUUAGGUCUAAUGCGGUCUUCUUAAUAGAUCAAACAACCACAUAUAAUAUUUGAUAAAGCUUUCUUCUUAUAAACAUUUUAUAUGCAUAAUCGAAAUCCAACCCUUUGUUGUGGCACAAACACACUGACAUCCAAAGAAUGGAUUAAGUGCUAGGGAGAAGGGAGGGCCAAGAUGAGCUGUGUAGGUGUCCUUGGUGUAACUAGAGCAUUCUUUGACCUUGUUAGAGACUUAGUGAUAGAGCAAUAAAUUGUUUUGUUAGGAUAAUAAAUUGUGUGUUAGGUUAUUCUUUUAUAUGGGUGAUUUUAAUCCCAAGGUAGGAGUGUUUGUACAAGUGGAACUAUGAGCUCUCAUGC
Molecule: non-coding RNA, 3895 nt
Organism: Triticum urartu
Lineage: Eukaryota; Viridiplantae; Streptophyta; Magnoliopsida; Poales; Poaceae
Source: RefSeq, a predicted model, not a curated record